AGAGUUCGAUCCUGGCUCAGGAUAAAUGCUAAUGGCAUGAUUAACACAUUCAAGUUAGACGAAAAACACGGGAAACGGUGUUUCCAGUGGUGGAUGGGUGAGUAACGCAUAAGAACCUGCCUUUAGGAGGGGAACAAUAGCUAGAAACGGCUACUAAUACCCCAUAGGCUGAGGAUCAAAAGGAGGAAUCCGCCCGAGGAGGGGCUCGUGUCUGAUUAGCUAGUUGGUCAGGCAAUAGCUUACCAAGGCGAUGAUCAGUAGCUGGUCCGAGAGGAUAAUCAGCCACACAGGGGCUGAGACACGACCCAGACUCCUACGGGAGGUAGCAGUGGGGAAUUUUCUGCAAUGGGCGAAAGCCUGAUGGAGCAAUGCCGCGUGGAGGUAGAAGGACCACGGGUCAUGAACUUCUUUUCUAUGAGAAUAAGCAAUGAUGGUAUCUAGGGAAUAAGCAUCGGCUAACUCUGUGCCAGCAGCCGCGUUAAUAUAGAGGAUGCAAGCGUUAUCCGGAAUAAUUGGGCGUAAAGCGUCUGUAGGUGGAUUUUUAAGUUUGCCGUCAAAUCCCAGGGCUCAACCCUUGAUAAGCGGUGGAAAAUACCAAGCUGGAGUAUGGUAGGGGCAGAGGGAAUUUCUGGUGGAGCGAUGAAAUACGUAGAGAUCGGAAAGAACACCAAUGGCGAAAGCACUCUGCUGGGCUGACACUGACACUGAGAGACAAAAGCUAGGGGAGCGAAUGGGAUUAUAUACCCCAUUAGUCCUAGCCAAAAAUGAUGGAUACUAGGUACUAUGCAUAUCAACCCAUGUAGUGCUAUAGCUAAUCCGUUAAGUAUCCCUCCUGGGGAGUACGUUCGCAAGAAUGAAACNUGAAACUCAAAGGAAUUGACGGAGGCCCACACAAGCAGUGGAGUAUGUGGUUUAAUUCAAUGCAAAGAGAAGAACCUUACCAGGGCUUGACAUGCCACGAAUCCUCUUAAAAGAGAGGUGUGCCUUCGGGAACGCGGACAUAGGUGGUGCAUGGCUGUCGUCAGCUCGUAUCAUAAGGUGUUGGGUUAAGUCCCGCAAUGAGUGCAACCCUCGUAUUUAGUUGCCAUCAUUGAGUUUGGAACAUUGAACAGACUGCUGAUGAUAAGCCGAAAGAAGGUGACGAUGACAUCAAGUUAUCAUACCCCUUAUGCCUUGAGCGACACACGUGCUACAAUGGCCGGGACAAAGCGUCACAAUCCCACGAGGGUGAGCUAACCCUAAAAACACAUCCUCAAUUUGUAUUGCAGGCUGCAACUCGCCUGCAUAAAGUUGGAAUCGCUAGUAAUCGCCGGUCAGCCAUACGGGGAUAAAUUCAUUCCUGGGACUUGUACACAUCGCCCGUCACACUAUGGGAUCUGGCCAUACCUGAAGUCGUUACCUUAAAUACAAGGAGGGGAAUGUCGAAGGUAGGGCUAGUGACUGGAGUGAAGUCAUAACAAGGUAGCCGUACUGGAAGGUGUGGCUG
This 1486-nucleotide ribosomal RNA is filed under the name Capsicum chinense (habanero). RNAcentral's name for it is "bacterial SSU rRNA". It matches the Rfam family "Bacterial small subunit ribosomal RNA". Lineage: Eukaryota; Viridiplantae; Streptophyta; Magnoliopsida; Solanales; Solanaceae. The record is from RNAcentral.